GUAGGUGAACCUGCGGAAGGAUCAUUAACAAAUUCUAUAUGAGAUAUAUACCAGUGAACAGACCGGUGGAGUGGGGAGGUUUGAGGAGGGAGGGGAGGGUACCGCUUGCGGUAUAAUAUAACCGUCUCUCCUUGGGUCACUCACACGCCGGUGAUAAACACCUUAGCAGUUGACUUUGAGUAAGCGCACUUGUUGCGUCAAAAAAUAAUACAACUUUUAACAAUGGAUCUCUUGGCUCUC
Molecule: unclassified non-coding RNA, 240 nt
Filed under: rhizosphere metagenome
Description: partial ribosomal RNA internal transcribed spacer region
Source: RNAcentral